This 431-nucleotide ribosomal RNA is filed under the name uncultured bacterium. RNAcentral's name for it is "bacterial SSU rRNA". It matches the Rfam family "Bacterial small subunit ribosomal RNA", at positions 29 to 507 of the family's 1533-position model. The record is from RNAcentral.
AACGAACGCUGGCGGCAGGCUUAACACAUGCAAGUCGAACGCCCCGCAAGGGGAGUGGCAGACGGGUGAGUAACGCGUGGGAACGUACCUUUCAGUUCGGAAUAACUCAGGGAAACUUGUGCUAAUACCGGAUACGCCCGCAAGGGGAAAGAUUUAUCGCUGAAAGAUCGGCCCGCGUUGGAUUAGCUAGUUGGUGGGGUAAAGGCCUACCAAGGCGACGAUCCAUAGCUGGUCUGAGAGGAUGAUCAGCCACACUGGGACUGAGACACGGCCCAGACUCCUACGGGAGGCAGCAGUGGGGAAUAUUGGACAAUGGGCGCAAGCCUGAUCCAGCCAUGCCGCGUGUGUGAUGAGGGCCUUAGGGUUGUAAAGCACUUUCACCGAUGAAGAUAAUGACGGUAGUCGGAGAAGAAGCCCCGGCUAACUUCGUG